CUACAGGCUUAACACAUGCAAGUCGAGGGGCAGCAUGGUCUUAGCUUGCUAAGGCCGAUGGCGACCGGCGCACGGGUGAGUAACACGUAUCCAACCUGCCGUCUACUCUUGGACAGCCUUCUGAAAGGAAGAUUAAUACAAGAUGGCAUCAUGAGUCCGCAUGUUCACAUGAUUAAAGGUAUUCCGGUAGACGAUGGGGAUGCGUUCCAUUAGAUAGUAGGCGGGGUAACGGCCCACCUAGUCUUCGAUGGAUGGGGGUUCUGAGAGGAAGGUCCCCCACAUUGGAACUGAGACACGGUCCAAACUCCUACGGGAGGCAGCAGUGAGGAAUAUUGGUCAAUGGGCGAGAGCCUGAACCAGCCAAGUAGCGUGAAGGAUGACUGCCCUAUGGGUUGUAAACUUCUUUUAUAAAGGAAUAAAGUCGGGUAUGCAUACCCGUUUGCAUGUACUUUAUGAAUAAGGAUCGGCUAACUCCGUGCCAGCAGCCGCGGUAAUACGGAGGAUCCGAGCGUUAUCCGGAUUUAUUGGGUUUAAAGGGAGCGUAGAUGGAUGUUUAAGUCAGUUGUGAAAGUUUGCGGCUCAACCGUAAAAUUGCAGUUGAUACUGGAUAUCUUGAGUGCAGUUGAGGCAGGCGGAAUUCGUGGUGUAGCGGUGAAAUGCUUAGAUAUCACGAAGAACUCCGAUUGCGAAGGCAGCCUGCUAAGCUGCAACUGACAUUGAGGCUCGAAAGUGUGGGUAUCAAACAGGAUUAGAUACCCUGGUAGUCCACACGGUAAACGAUGAAUACUCGCUGUUUGCGAUAUACGGCAAGCGGCCAAGCGAAAGCGUUAAGUAUUCCACCUGGGGAGUACGCCGGCAACGGUGAAACUCAAAGGAAUUGACGGGGGCCCGCACAAGCGGAGGAACAUGUGGUUUAAUUCGAUGAUACGCGAGGAACCUUACCCGGGCUUAAAUUGCAGAUGAAUUACGGUGAAAGCCGUAAGCCGCAAGGCAUCUGUGAAGGUGCUGCAUGGUUGUCGUCAGCUCGUGCCGUGAGGUGUCGGCUUAAGUGCCAUAACGAGCGCAACCCUUGUUGUCAGUUACUAACAGGUUCCGCUGAGGACUCUGACAAGACUGCCAUCGUAAGAUGUGAGGAAGGUGGGGAUGACGUCAAAUCAGCACGGCCCUUACGUCCGGGGCUACACACGUGUUACAAUGGGGGGUACAGAGGGCCGCUACCACGCGAGUGGAUGCCAAUCCCAAAAACCUCUCUCAGUUCGGACUGGAGUCUGCAACCCGACUCCACGAAGCUGGAUUCGCUAGUAAUCGCGCAUCAGCCACGGCGCGGUGAAUACGUUCCCGGGCCUUGUACACACCGCCCGUCAAGCCAUGGGAGCCGGGGGUACCUGAAGUGCGUAACCGCGAGGAGCGCCCUAGGGUAAAACUGGUGACUGGGGCU
RNAcentral lists this ribosomal RNA (1438 nucleotides) under uncultured organism. RNAcentral's name for it is "SSU rRNA". It matches the Rfam family "Bacterial small subunit ribosomal RNA". The record is from RNAcentral.